This 616-nucleotide ribosomal RNA is filed under the name Stenotrophomonas sp. GLT-Slr-58. RNAcentral describes it as "bacterial SSU rRNA". It matches the Rfam family "Bacterial small subunit ribosomal RNA", at positions 85 to 697 of the family's 1533-position model. Lineage: Bacteria; Pseudomonadati; Pseudomonadota; Gammaproteobacteria; Lysobacterales; Lysobacteraceae. The record is from RNAcentral.
UGGGUGGCGAGUGGCGGACGGGUGAGGAAUACAUCGGAAUCUACUCUGUCGUGGGGGAUAACGUAGGGAAACUUACGCUAAUACCGCAUACGACCUACGGGUGAAAGCAGGGGAUCUUCGGACCUUGCGCGAUUGAAUGAGCCGAUGUCGGAUUAGCUAGUUGGCGGGGUAAAGGCCCACCAAGGCGACGAUCCGUAGCUGGUCUGAGAGGAUGAUCAGCCACACUGGAACUGAGACACGGUCCAGACUCCUACGGGAGGCAGCAGUGGGGAAUAUUGGACAAUGGGCGCAAGCCUGAUCCAGCCAUACCGCGUGGGUGAAGAAGGCCUUCGGGUUGUAAAGCCCUUUUGUUGGGAAAGAAAUCCAGCUGGCUAAUACCCGGUUGGGAUGACGGUACCCAAAGAAUAAGCACCGGCUAACUUCGUGCCAGCAGCCGCGGUAAUACGAAGGGUGCAAGCGUUACUCGGAAUUACUGGGCGUAAAGCGUGCGUAGGUGGUCGUUUAAGUCCGUUGUGAAAGCCCUGGGCUCAACCUGGGAACUGCAGUGGAUACUGGGCGACUAGAGUGUGGUAGAGGGUAGCGGAAUUCCUGGUGUAGCAGUGAAAUGCGUAGAGAU